This 497-nucleotide ribosomal RNA is filed under the name uncultured bacterium. RNAcentral's name for it is "partial 16S ribosomal RNA". It matches the Rfam family "Bacterial small subunit ribosomal RNA", at positions 28 to 507 of the family's 1533-position model. The record is from RNAcentral.
GAUGAACGCUGGCGGCGUGCCUAAUACAUGCAAGUCGAGCGAACAGACCAGGAGCUGUCUCCUCUGACUUUAUCGGCGGACGGGUCAGGAACACGGGGAUGACCUACCUAUACGACUGGGAUAACUUCAGGAGACCGGAUCUACGACCGGAUAAUAUAUUGACCCUCAUUGUUCAAUAGUUAAAGAAGGUUUUUCUUUCGCUUAUAGAUUAAUCAGCCGCGCAUUAGCUAGUUGGUAGGGUAACUGCUUACCCAGGCAACGAUGCGAAGCCGACCUGAGAGGGUGAUCCGACACCCUGGAACUGAGAAACGGCCCCGACUCCUAGAGGGGGAAGCAGUAGGGACUCCUACGGAAGGGGGGAAAGCGUGACGGAGGAAAGCCGCGUGAGUCAUGAAGGUGUUCGGACGGUAAAACGAUGUUAGUAGGGAGGAACAAAUGUGCAAGUAACUAUGAACGUCUUGACGGUACCUAAUCAGAAAGCCACGGCUAACUACGUG